Molecule: non-coding RNA, 101 nt
Organism: Mesocricetus auratus (golden hamster)
Lineage: Eukaryota; Metazoa; Chordata; Mammalia; Rodentia; Cricetidae
Source: Rfam
GCUGUAUUCAGCAGCACAUAUACUAAAAUUGGAACGAUAAGAGAAGAUUAGCAUGGCCCCUUCGUAAAGAUGUACAAAUAUGCGAAGGGUUCCAUAUUUUU